Molecule: ribosomal RNA, 464 nt
Filed under: uncultured bacterium
Lineage: Bacteria
Description: partial 16S ribosomal RNA
Rfam family: Bacterial small subunit ribosomal RNA
Source: RNAcentral
GAUGAACGCUGGCGGCGUGCUUAACACAUGCAAGUCGAACGGAAAGGCUCCUGCUUGCAGGGGUACUCGAGUGGCGAACGGGUGAGUAACACGUGGGUGAUCUGCCCUGCACUUCGGGAUAAGCCUGGGAAACUGGGUCUAAUACCGGAUAGGACCACAUUUUGGAUGGUGUGGUGGAAAGUUUUUCGGUGUGGGAUGAGCUCGCGGCCUAUCAGCUUGUUGGUGGGGUAAUGGCCUACCAAGGCGUCGACGGUAGCCGGCCUGAGAGGGUGUACGGCCACAUUGGGACUGAGAUACGGCCCAGACUCCUACGGGAGGCAGCAGUGGGGAAUAUUGCACAAUGGGCGCAAGCCUGAUGCAGCGACGCCGCGUGGGGGAUGACGGCCUUCGGGUUGUAAACUCCUUUCGCUAGGGACGAAGCGCAAGUGACGGUACCUGGAGAAGAAGCACCGGCUAACUACGUG